GCUCACAGAAAAUCAAGUGAAGGGAGGAUUGAGGCCUUGGCUUGCUGUGGGGCACCUGGACACCUGGGCUGGCCACCUGCCAGGCCUGGCAGCAAGGUCUUAGAGCAGUGGCUGGCACAGUCCCCAACAGGACUGAGAAAUGUUGGCUUAGGCUUUCCUAGUCUUUGGUUGCGGCUUCAAGCACUGACUGGGCCCUACCUUCAGAUGAAGCACCUUCUCCGUGACUGCUGCCCUUCACGUUUGACCUCUUCUAAGAAUCCUUUCCUAACUCUGCCUGGCUUCAAUAGCUCCUCUUCGACAUUCUCUUGCUACUAUGCCAAGAGAAGAGAACAGAAAUGAAAUCUGAUAAGUGUGUGCCUCCCACGACCAUCCCUUAUAGACGCACUCUCGCUCUGCUCGUAGAUGCCGCGGCCCAUCUGUGGGGCCUGCCUGCCCACGGGCCGGAAGUGUUGGACUCAAAAGCAAUCCAUCAAAUGCGGAGACAUAUUUGCACUGUGUUCUGAAAUACAUUUUUAACUUUUAUUGCAUUCUCACAGAGCCUAAAACAAUAAUUCGUUAAAAAACAGCAA
This 569-nucleotide non-coding RNA is filed under the name Pongo abelii (Sumatran orangutan). The record is from RNAcentral. Lineage: Eukaryota; Metazoa; Chordata; Mammalia; Primates; Hominidae.